RNAcentral lists this ribosomal RNA (894 nucleotides) under Amesomyces nigricolor. RNAcentral's name for it is "LSU rRNA". It matches the Rfam family "Eukaryotic large subunit ribosomal RNA", at positions 36 to 964 of the family's 3401-position model. The record is from RNAcentral. Lineage: Eukaryota; Fungi; Ascomycota; Sordariomycetes; Sordariales; Chaetomiaceae.
UAGCAUAUCAAUAAGCGGAGGAAAAGAAACCAACAGGGAUUGCCCUAGUAACGGCGAGUGAAGCGGCAACAGCUCAAAUUUGAAAUCUGGCUUCGGCCCGAGUUGUAAUUUGCAGAGGAAGCUUUAGGCGCGGCACCUUCUGAGUCCCCUGGAACGGGGCGCCAUAGAGGGUGAGAGCCCCGUAUAGUUGGAUGCCUAGCCUGUGUAAAGCUCCUUCGACGAGUCGAGUAGUUUGGGAAUGCUGCUCAAAAUGGGAGGUAAAUUUCUUCUAAAGCUAAAUACCGGCCAGAGACCGAUAGCGCACAAGUAGAGUGAUCGAAAGAUGAAAAGCACUUUGAAAAGAGGGUUAAAUAGCACGUGAAAUUGUUGAAAGGGAAGCGCUUGUGACCAGACUUGCGCCGGGCUGAUCAUCCGGUGUUCUCACCGGUGCACUCUGCCCGGCUCAGGCCAGCAUCGGUUCUCGCGGGGGGAUAAAGGUUCCGGGAAUGUAGCUCCUCCGGGAGUGUUAUAGCCCGGGGCGUAAUGCCCUCGCGGGGACCGAGGUUCGCGCUCUGCAAGGAUGCUGGCGUAAUGGUCAUCAGCGACCCGUCUUGAAACACGGACCAAGGAGUCAAGGUUUUGCGCGAGUGUUUGGGUGUAAAACCCGCACGCGUAAUGAAAGUGAACGUAGGUGAGAGCUUCGGCGCAUCAUCGACCGAUCCUGAUGUUUUCGGAUGGAUUUGAGUAAGAGCGUUAAGCCUUGGACCCGAAAGAUGGUGAACUAUGCUUGGAUAGGGUGAAGCCAGAGGAAACUCUGGUGGAGGCUCGCAGCGGUUCUGACGUGCAAAUCGAUCGUCAAAUCUGAGCAUGGGGGCGAAAGACUAAUCGAACCAUCUAGUAGCUGGUUACCGCCGA